Molecule: long non-coding RNA, 473 nt
Filed under: Cyanistes caeruleus (blue tit)
Lineage: Eukaryota; Metazoa; Chordata; Aves; Passeriformes; Paridae
Description: lncRNA (ENSCCEG00000012557.1)
Source: RNAcentral
GGCAGUUUGCUUGGGUUGAACUGCUGCCCCUGCAUAUCUGAGCACCACAGGGCUUUUUCCACAUUAAAAUGGAAGAUCUGUCUGCAGAGAUGUGAGCACAGCAGACAGGAGCAGAUACCUCUGUGGUCUACAACAAGGAAGUUUUGAAAUAAGGUCUCACCUGCAGACUUGUGAAGCCAGCAGAAAUGCACUGCAGGAAGGAUUCCAGUUUUACAGUGCCUGAGCCACCAGUGGAUGUUCCAGAGAAGCUAUUUGUCCUGAGUGCAGCAGUGAGCAGUGAGGGUCUGAGUCAUGUGGACCAUGAACAGGCUCCUGGGACCUGCUUGAAUCCUGAACAUGGCAACCUUUUAAACAAGAAAAGAUUUUGGGCCUCUGAGAAGCCAAAAGGUGAUACAAGUGCAGAAAAUGAACCAGAAGAAAGCAUCAGAAAUGAGAAAAAAAAACAAACCUGUGUGACUCAGAUAUAACUUGGG